GUGGAUUAUAUACCCGGGUAGUCCACGCCCUAAACGAUGUCAACUAGUUGUCGGGUCUUAAUUGACUUGGUAACGCAGCUAACGCGUGAAGUUGACCGCCUGGGGAGUACGGUCGCAAGAUUAAAACUCAAAGGAAUUGACGGGGACCCGCACAAGCGGUGGAUGAUGUGGAUUAAUUCGAUGCAACGCGAAAAACCUUACCUACCCUUGACAUGGCAGGAAUCCCGGAGAGAUUCGGGAGUGCUCGAAAGAGAACCUGCACACAGGUGCUGCACGGCCGUCGCCAGCU
RNAcentral lists this ribosomal RNA (289 nucleotides) under uncultured bacterium. RNAcentral describes it as "partial 16S ribosomal RNA". It matches the Rfam family "Bacterial small subunit ribosomal RNA", at positions 773 to 1060 of the family's 1533-position model. The record is from RNAcentral.